UACCUACGGGGGGCAGCAGUGAGGAAUAUUGGUCAAUGGGCGGAAGCCUGAACCAGCCAAGUCGCGUGAGGGAAUAAGGCCCUACAGGUCGUAAACCUCUUUUGCCGGGGAGCAAGGGCGGGGACGUGUCCCGGCCCGGAGAGUACCCGGAGAAAAAGCAUCGGCUAACUCCGUGCCAGCAGCCGCGGUAAUACGGAGGAUGCGAGCGUUAUCCGGAUUUAUUGGGGUUAAAGGGUGCGUAGGCGGGCUUUUAAGGCAGCGGUAAAAAUUCGGGGCGCAACCCCGGCCGGCCGGUGAAACUGGGG
This 305-nucleotide ribosomal RNA is filed under the name uncultured bacterium. RNAcentral's name for it is "bacterial SSU rRNA". It matches the Rfam family "Bacterial small subunit ribosomal RNA", at positions 335 to 638 of the family's 1533-position model. The record is from RNAcentral.